RNAcentral lists this non-coding RNA (1987 nucleotides) under Pan troglodytes (chimpanzee). The record is from RNAcentral. Lineage: Eukaryota; Metazoa; Chordata; Mammalia; Primates; Hominidae.
GCCGUGAGUUGCGAGGGUGGGCCGUGAGUCGGGUGGGUGGGCCGUGAGUUGCGUGGGUGGGCCGUGAGUCGGGUGGGCGGGCUGUGAGUUGGGUGGAUGGACUGAGUCGUGUGGGUGGCCGUGAGUCGGGUGGGUGGCCGUGAGUCGGGUGGGGGUGAGGAAUUGGCUGCUAGCGGUGAUGGUGACAGAGGGUUACGGAGGAAUCCUCACUCAGAUGCAUUUGGACGUCUUUGUGGGGAAAUGACGUGGCGCCUGGGAUGUACUUUACAAUUCUAAUAAAGAGGAGAAAGACACGACAGUAUUGGCUGAAUGUUGACAGCUGUUGAAGCCGGGAGGUUGGUGUGCUAGAAAGUUCCCCAAAUCUUUUAUUUGCAGCAUGAGUAUGAGUUUCUUCGUGCUCACGGAAGAUUGUAGAGAGCAGCUGUCGGUCAUGGAGUCACAGGGCUGCCUUACCAGGACACCACAGGCAGCCCCACAGACAACACAGGUUUAUUCUCUCCAGCUCUGCAGGCUGGAAGUCCGAGGUAGAGGUGCCAACAGGGUCCGUUUCCGGCGAGCGCCUCCUGGUUCAGAGGCAUCCUCAUGUCAGGAGGGGCUUUGGUGUCACCUUUUCCUUGUGAGGGCCCGGAUCCCAUGACCCCUGUCACCCCAUCGAAGCCAAAUCACCUCCCACAGACCUCCUCAUGCCAUCACGUCGGGCCUAGGGCUUCCACAUGGGAAUUUCAGAGUGACCAUUCAGCCCGUAGCAGAAGCUCCUCUGGGUCUGUCCUGGCCCACAGACCCUGUGUAGGAAAAGCACUUCCCCCUGCGGGGCAGGCCCCGGCAGAGCCCGGUGAGGCAGUGAGGGCCCUGCAGGAUAAGUGGAAAUCUCCCCAGGGGGAUAUGGGGGUGCCUUUCUCUUACAGAGUCCAGGCUGGUAAAAGCGCCUGUGUGUUUCGUGUCUGGUUUGUCCCCUGCCCAGUGGGUGCCGUUGGAAGGGCCUUCAGGUGCUUGAGCGCAGGUGGGGACGGAGCAGCUGGUGUCUCGGCAGUAGAUGUGGCGGAUCAUAAGGACUUGGGUUUUGAGCGCCCUGCAGGAAGCCACUGGCCGCAUCCAGGGUCACCUGUGUCUGGUCGUUAGUCCCUCACGAUGCUGUCACUUUGUGACGCUCUUGUGCGGGAUUAAAUGUGAACAGCAGAGACGUGGGUGAUGCACUGCCUCGUCAGAUGAUGGUCAGUUGUCCAAGCGGGCUGCCUUGCUCUUGGUGGCCUCAUCAUCCAGGGCCCACACACUGGAUGGUUGGGCCACAGUCGCGGUGCCCCCGGGCUGCAGGCUUUCCACCCUGCUUAGCAGGGCUCCAGGGCUCCGGGUAGAGCAGGGGGUCCCUCCCUUGGCAUUUCCCCAGGGAGGAGCACGGCCAUGCUCAGCUGCAGUCAGGCUGCUGCUCUUAGCUGUCUUUCCUUCUAACACUCAGGCUUCCCUUCCUGCCUCCUGGGUCGCUGAAGAAGGUCAGGUCCACAGAAAAGGCCUGGGGAGAGAAUGGUGGGGACACUUGCCUGGCCUUUGUGUUAGCGCUCAGCACACAUGUGUCCAGUGUAAAGUCCACCAAGAUUAGCAGGGCAUGGUAGCGGCCGCCUGUAAUCCCAGCUUCUCAGGAGUCUAAGGCAGGAGAAUUGCUUGAACCUGGGAGGCGGAGGUUGCAGUGAGCCAAGAUCGUGCCACUGCACUGCAGCCUGGGCGACAGAGUGAGACUCCAUCUCAAAAAAAAAAAGUCCAUCGAGAGAGCAGGUGGCAGGUGCAGCUCCAGGAAUGGGAGGGCCACGUGGUAGCCACUGGCAGCCUUGACUGAAGAUGAAAGAGUCCAUGGUGCUAGGAGGAGGAGCUGCAUCCCAGCAGGCUCAGCUCCUGGAGCUGCCUCUCUGCACUCUGAAGGGAGGCCCAGUGGCUGCAAUAUUCUUUGGGAAGUACAAUGCCAAGUAAAUAAAGAUAUUUGGGGUCAUUCUAGUUA